Long non-coding RNA from Leopardus geoffroyi (Geoffroy's cat), 322 nucleotides. RefSeq lists it as uncharacterized. The transcript has 2 exons. The record is from RefSeq and is a predicted model, not a curated record. NCBI's taxonomy places the organism in Eukaryota, Metazoa, Chordata, Mammalia, Carnivora, Felidae.
AUGACCUCCCGGAAGAGGUAAGACCUGAAGAUUAAGAUCAGCCAUGCAAACAGAUAGGAGGAAAUGUUCCCAAGAAAAGAAGCAGAGAAAAAGCACAACGGCUGUCACAGGCAACAAUGUUCUUUCUCGCCCUUUCAUCUGCAGGCAGAUGAAUCAAUAAAAUAUGAAGACAAAAGUGCUCCAUGUUCUGGCCAAGGAUGAAUGUUCACCAACAGAUAUUCCUGAUUGUAAAGGGAAGCAUUUCAUCUCAGGGCCCAGAUCCCAGAGACGAUUAUUGAUGAAUCUGGAAAUACCAUCAAGAAUAAAACACUCUUCUCCCAGU